AUGAACGCUGGCGGCGUGCCUAAUACAUGCAAGUCGAGCGAACAGACGAGGAGCUUGCUCCUCUGACGUUAGCGGCGGACGGGUGAGUAACACGUGGAUAACCUACCUAUAAGACUGGGAUAACUUCGGGAAACCGGAGCUAAUACCGGAUAAUAUAUUGAACCGCAUGGUUCAAUAGUGAAAGACGGUUUUGCUGUCACUUAUAGAUGGAUCCGCGCCGCAUUAGCUAGUUGGUAAGGUAACGGCUUACCAAGGCAACGAUGCGUAGCCGACCUGAGAGGGUGAUCGGCCACACUGGAACUGAGACACGGUCCAGACUCCUACGGGAGGCAGCAGUAGGGAAACUUCCGCAAUGGGCGAAAGCCUGACGGAGCAACGCCGCGUGAGUGAUGAAGGUCUUCGGAUCGUAAAACUCUGUUAUUAGGGAAGAACAAAUGUGUAAGUAACUAUGCACGUCUUGACGGUACCUAAUCAGAAAGCCACGGCUAACUACGUG
RNAcentral lists this ribosomal RNA (496 nucleotides) under uncultured bacterium. Its description in RNAcentral is "partial 16S ribosomal RNA". It matches the Rfam family "Bacterial small subunit ribosomal RNA", at positions 29 to 507 of the family's 1533-position model. The record is from RNAcentral.